RNAcentral lists this long non-coding RNA (2105 nucleotides) under Theobroma cacao (cacao). RNAcentral's name for it is "long non-coding RNA (TCAC_LNC005985)". The record is from RNAcentral. Lineage: Eukaryota; Viridiplantae; Streptophyta; Magnoliopsida; Malvales; Malvaceae.
CGAGUGCAAAACACAUAUUUCAUAAUCAAAAAUAAGUUUAGAUGUCUAAAACAUUCAUUUAAAGUGAAAUUAUAAAUAUUUGAAUAUAAUAAAAAUAUUAAACAAAAUAUUCUAUUUUUUUAUAAAACAAUAUUUAUAGAGGUAUUCGUAAAUAAUUUUUUGUAGCGUAAAAACAAAAUAAAUUCGUACAUACAGUAACACAGUGAGCCAAAGUGUGUAAUCUAAUUUACAAUGACAUGUGGGCCCUCGAAUGAUCAAAAGUAACAAAGGCUACGAACCUACGAUUUCUGAAGAUGCAAAUCCAACUGUAGCCCUCGAUGAAACCAGCUAUCUACAGACUAUCCAGAGCUUGAAAUGGGUGAAAAGGAGGGUGGUGAGAUUAUAUAAUCCCAAUGAGUAAACAAAUAUCAUCUAAAAUAUCUAAAGCUGAGUAAAUGGAGACAGAUAAAAUAAAUUAGCAUAAAAAUGAUUCACAACAUUUCGAACUCAUUUUAAUAAGAUAAAAUAAAUUCAUUUCACCCAAAUAAACAAUGAAGCUUAUGAUUUCUUGAAAAGCUUGGCUGGUGCCAAAAUCAUUCUCAUACUCGGUUGUUAAGGAUACCUUGGCCUGGGGCUAUCCCAGGUGAAUCCGCCAAGGCUGUUAAAAAGUCAUGUACGCAUAAAUCAUGUUUUUAUUUUGAAAACAUAGCUGGUUCCUUGGCGUUAGCUGAGUUCACCCUCACGUGGUGGUUUGGCGUGAAAUGAACUCCAAAGUUUUAUCUCAGGAGUUACCCUACGCGCCUCUCCGAUCGAGGUAAGAAUAUAACCGAAUUUCGUACCCCUCUAAUAGGCUGGUCUACAGAACCCGCCUACUGCAGCAAGCUAAACCCACCAUACAAUAAAAUUUGUGAUAGCAUGACAUGGCAAUUAUUUUAUUUUACAGCCUCUCAAGGCAAAUCAACAGUUCAUACAUUUUCAGCACAUUUACCAAUUUAACCAUUCAUGCCAAUAUUGCCAUAAGCCAAUUAAUUAGAACCAUAAAUUUACAACACAUCAAGUGGUCUCCAAUUACUCUAUUUUCAAAACCAUCAUUCAAUUUCAAGACAAUUUUAUAAAAUCAUUUCAUUUAAUUACAUUUUGCUUAUAAAAUAUAAAGAUUUACCAUUUAAACUCAUUUUCCAUAAAAUCACAAAAACGAAUUAAAAUUCACUUUAAAUAAUCAAGAUGAUGAUAAGGUUACUCACUGUAAUGGGAAUCGAAUUCCAUGUACUCCGAUUCUUGACCCUCGGGUACUAUCUCUUUACUCUUGCCAGAAUGCUCACUACCUAGACAUAAUUCAUAAUAAGCCAUUUACUACAUUUGUGCUAAAUUGUUAUAAAACCAAUUCAGGCUCUAUACUAAUGCAUGAAAUGGGAUGUGAAAUGAUCGGGUAACCAUCUAAAUACGGCGCUCAAUAUAUGUUCAAUUGUGUACCUAAAUAAAAUGGUAUUAGCCUAAUUCGAUCCAUCGCCCGAUCAAUUGGCCAAUAUGUCCAAUUCAACUCCAAACAAUUCCAUUUCUCUCCCAAUACUCCAAAUCAUUAAACUCAAGUCAAGUAACAUAAAAUUUAGCAAGAUCAUCUUCACAUUUCUUCUUGGGAAUUUUGGCCAAGGUAAGUGCAUGAACACUAUGGUUUUUCCCACUUGAUUUUUACACCAUAAAUCAUUAAUUCUUAACCAAAUCACUUGAAAUAAAAUCAAGUCCACCAUCAACACACCAUAGGGAAGAUUCGGCCAAUGAAGGGUGAUGGAAGAAAAUGAAUUUUUCUUGUUUGCUUUUCAUGCUACACAUCACUAACUAACUAAAAAUACUAGAAUAUAUUGAAAUCUAACCAAAUCCAAGUUCAAAACUCCUCCCCCCAUGUCCAGCCAACAAAGGUAUCCUCAUGCAAACUUGAUUCUCAACCAUGGAAAAUGAAAAAGAAUGCACAGGAAAGGUAGAUCACAAGCUAGAAUUGAAAAAUCUUACCUUUAAUGGCUUGAUUCCUUGAAAUUUGGUGAAUUUCUCUUGAAUUUCUUAGCUAGGGUUUUUGUUCUUCUUCUUUUCUUCCCUUGUCUUCCUUUGGCCGACCAAGAGAAAUGAGUUGG